Molecule: long non-coding RNA, 636 nt
Filed under: Ictidomys tridecemlineatus (thirteen-lined ground squirrel)
Lineage: Eukaryota; Metazoa; Chordata; Mammalia; Rodentia; Sciuridae
Description: lncRNA (ENSSTOG00000034140.1)
Source: RNAcentral
AUGCUAGUGCUGAUGUCCUGGAGGUUCAACCAAACCCCUUGCACCAGUCCGUUGACACACCUUCCAGGAGAGGCUGAGUGCUUACAGCAGCACAGGAAGCUCUUCACUCUGGGUUGCUUCCCUGCCGCCCUUCAGUCAUGGGACAGACUGCAGUUGAGCCAGCACCUCGGCCAGGCAAGUGACAGCUUGAAGCGCCCUACGUCCUUCAGCAUUGCUGCUACAAAGCAUCCCUGGGGCAUGGAUGGCAGAGGGAACAGGUGUGUGGUCUGCAAAGUCAACAGAGGUGUGCACCUAAAAUCAUGCUAGGAAAAAAUCCAGGGGAGAGGAAAUGAGCCGGCAAACCCACCAGGAAAUGUCCAUGUGUCUGGAAAAUUUUAAUCCAAUGCGGGUCUAUCCUAUUUGUUCUUAACUAGGAUGUAACUGCCCUCUGCACUUUGGGAUUGUCAGGGGAGCAUUCGGUUGCAUAUAGAAAUGGAUUUCCAUUUCUGUCACAUAAAAAUAAACACUUCUCUGGGAGCAGUGGUGCACCCAACGUCAUUCAUCCCAACGGCUCAGGGGGCUGAGGCAGGAGGAUGGCAAGUUCAAAGCCAGCCUCAGCAACUUAGUGAGGCUUUAAGCAACUUAGACCCCAAGUAA